RNAcentral lists this long non-coding RNA (658 nucleotides) under Capsicum annuum. RNAcentral's name for it is "long non-coding RNA (CANN_LNC003811)". Lineage: Eukaryota; Viridiplantae; Streptophyta; Magnoliopsida; Solanales; Solanaceae. The record is from RNAcentral.
CAGCCUCAGGCUGAUUAUGGGUUUCAGCCUGGAGUGAAUCGACCUGGUGGUGGUGGUGGAGAAAGUGAAUAUGGAUCUGGGUAUGGAAGGAAGAGUGAGUACGAACAGCCAAGUUCCGAAUACGGAUCUGGGUAUGGGAGGAAGACUGAGUAUGAAGAACCGACCCCCCAAUAUGGAUCUGGGUACGGGAGAAAGACUGAAUAUGAAGAGCCCACUCCCCAAUAUGGAUCUGGGUACGGGAGAAAGUCUGAAUAUGAAGAACCCACUCCCCAGUAUAGAUCCGGGUAUGGAAGGAAGAGUGAGAAUGAAGAACCCACUCCCAAGUAUGGAUCUGGGUAUGGGAGAAAGAGUGAAUAUGAAGAACCCACUCCCCAAUAUGGAUCCGGGUACGGAAGGAAGAGCGAAUAUGAAGAACCCACUCCUCAAUAUGGAUCCGGGUAUGGAAGGAAGAGUGAAUAUGAGGAGCCAAGUUCGGAAUACGGGUCGGGGUACCGAAAGAAGAGUGAAUAUGAGGAGCCAAGUUCCGAAUACGGGUCGGGUUAUGGGCGUAGAACUGAAUCUGAUGAAUAUGGAUAUGGGAGGAAGCCAAGCUAUGGACAGGAGGAAGGUUAUGGGCGUUCAAGCUACCAGCCUGAGGAGGGGGAAGGAUACGAUAGGC